This 301-nucleotide ribosomal RNA is filed under the name uncultured bacterium. Its description in RNAcentral is "partial 16S ribosomal RNA". It matches the Rfam family "Bacterial small subunit ribosomal RNA", at positions 509 to 809 of the family's 1533-position model. The record is from RNAcentral.
CAGCCGCCGCGGGAAUACGAAGGGGGCUAGCGUUACUCGGAAUUACUGGGCGCAAAGGGCGCGUAGGCGGCACGAUUAGUCAGGCGUGAAAUUCCUGGGCUCAACCUGGGGACUGCGCUUGAUACGGUCGAGCUAGAGGAUGGAAGAGGGUUGUGGAAUUCCCAGUGUAGAGGUGAAAUUCGUAGAUAUUGGGAAGAACACCGGUGACGAAGGCGGCAACCUGGCUCAUUACUGACGCUGAGGCGCGAAAGCGUGGGGAGCAAACAGGAUUAGAUACCCCGGUAGUCCCUGUCUCUUAUAU